AAACCAUGUCCGUGACAAUACCAGGCACCGAUUCGGCGCCAAGGGGAGUCCUGGGUGGCUGGGUCACCUGCAGAUUUUGUCGUCCAGGUCUAGACCGGUGUGAGCCGCCAGCCAGGCAGUGCGACUGGUUUCCGAGGGAACGACCCACUGGGGUCUGACCGGUCGGCCUCCUACACCACCUCACCCCUUCCCAACCCCGGAUCCGGGCUGCCGCCCUGGGUGGGUUUGGCAAUUGUCCAGCUUGAGGUGGUUCAGGCCGCCCACAAGGAGCACAACGAGGCAGUCAGGAGCCGGGGCGGCCGACUGGGCUGGCCUGGAAGGAGAGGGACCGGCCGGAACUGCAACCGCAGCAGCCGGGAGCGCGGAGCCGGCGGCAGAGGUCACAGGAGGUGGGGGCCGUACACGCGUCCCUGGUGGCUGCGGGAGCGGCAUCUGCGGGCCCCGAACUCCCACCCCCCGCCGCUCCAAGGGCAAGAGGAGCGCGUGGCGGACCAAAGAGAGCCCGCGAGCGGCCGCGCGCCCACCAAUAGGUGCGGGGCUCGGAGCCGCCCAGCGCGCGCGGUCCCUCCCUCCUCCCUCCGCCCCCGCCCCCGCCGCCGCCGCCUACCCCUCCUGCCGCUCCUGACUCUGCUUCUCC
This 637-nucleotide long non-coding RNA is filed under the name Cervus hanglu yarkandensis (Yarkand deer). Its description in RNAcentral is "lncRNA (ENSCHYG00000013974.1)". The record is from RNAcentral. Lineage: Eukaryota; Metazoa; Chordata; Mammalia; Artiodactyla; Cervidae.